Molecule: ribosomal RNA, 1343 nt
Filed under: uncultured bacterium
Lineage: Bacteria
Description: 16S ribosomal RNA
Rfam family: Bacterial small subunit ribosomal RNA
Source: RNAcentral
GACGAACGCUGGCGGCGUGCUUAACACAUGCAAGUCGAACGGAAAGGCCCUGCUUUUGUGGGGUGCUCGAGUGGCGAACGGGUGAGUAACACGUGAGUAACCUGCCCUUGACUUUGGGAUAACUUCAGGAAACUGGGGCUAAUACCGGAUAGGAGCUCCUGCUGCAUGGUGGGGGUUGGAAAGUUUCGGCGGUUGGGGAUGGACUCGCGGCUUAUCAGCUUGUUGGUGGGGUAGUGGCUUACCAAGGCUUUGACGGGUAGCCGGCCUGAGAGGGUGACCGGCCACAUUGGGACUGAGAUACGGCCCAGACUCCUACGGGAGGCAGCAGUGGGGAAUAUUGCACAAUGGGCGGAAGCCUGAUGCAGCAACGCCGCGUGCGGGAUGACGGCCUUCGGGUUGUAAACCGCUUUCGCCUGUGACGAAGCGUGAGUGACGGUAAUGGGUAAAGAAGCACCGGCUAACUACGUGCCAGCAGCCGCGGUGAUACGUAGGGUGCGAGCGUUGUCCGGAUUUAUUGGGCGUAAAGGGCUCGUAGGUGGUUGAUCGCGUCGGAAGUGUAAUCUCGGGGCUUAACCCUGAGCGUGCUUUCGAUACGGGUUGACUUGAGGAAGGUAGGGGAGAAUGGAAUUCCUGGUGGAGCGGUGGAAUGCGCAGAUAUCAGGAGGAACACCAGUGGCGAAGGCGGUUCUCUGGGCCUUUCCUGACGCUGAGGAGCGAAAGCGUGGGGAGCGAACAGGCUUAGAUACCCUGGUAGUCCACGCUGUAAACGGUGGGUACUAGGUGUGGGGUCCAUUCCACGGGUUCCGUGCCGUAGCUAACGCUUUAAGUACCCCGCCUGGGGAGUACGGCCGCAAGGCUAAAGCUCAAAGGAAUUGACGGGGCCCCGCACAAGCGGCGGAGCAUGCGGAUUAAUUCGAUGCAACGCGUAGAACCUUACCUGGGUUUGACAUGGAUCGGGAGUGCUCAGAGAUGGGUGUGCCUCUUUUGGGGUCGGUUCACAGGUGGUGCAUGGCUGUCGUCAGCUCGUGUCGUGAGAUGUUGGGUUAAGUCCCGCAACGAGCGCAACCCUUGUUCACUGUUGCCAGCACGUUAUGGUGGGGACUCAGUGGAGACCGCCGGGGUCAACUCGGAGGAAGGUGGGGAUGACGUCAAGUCAUCAUGCCCCUUAUGUCCAGGGCUUCACGCAUGCUACAAUGGCUGGUACAGAGAGUGGCGAGCCUGUGAGGGUGAGCGAAUCUCGGAAAGCCGGUCUCAGUUCGGAUUGGGGUCUGCAACUCGACCUCAUGAAGUCGGAGUCGCUAGUAAUCGCAGAUCAGCAACGCUGCGGUGAAUACGUUCCCGGG